This 395-nucleotide ribosomal RNA is filed under the name Neohoplonotus spiniferus. Its description in RNAcentral is "partial large subunit ribosomal RNA". The record is from RNAcentral. Lineage: Eukaryota; Metazoa; Arthropoda; Insecta; Coleoptera; Cerambycidae.
AGGGCCGCAGUAUUUKGACUGUGCUAAGGUAGCAUAAUCAUUAGUUUUUUAAUUGAAAGCUGGAAUGAAUGGUUGGAUGAAAAAAUAACUGUCUCUGUUUAAUUUAGUUGAAUUUUAUUUUUAAGUUAAAAAGCUUAAAUAUUUUUAAAAGACGAGAAGACCCUAUAGAGUUUUAUAUAAUAAUAUUUUUAAGGAAUUAGUAUAUUAAAGUUAAUAGUAAGAUUUUAUUUAAUUGGGGUGAUUGAGAAAUAAAUUUAACUUUUUUUWAUAUUUAAUUCAUUGAUAUAUGAAAAAUUGAUCCAUUAUUUGUGAUUAUAAGAUUAAAUUACCUUAGGGAUAACAGCGUAAUUUUUUUUAAGAGUUCUAAUCGAAAAAGAAGAUUGCGACCUCGAUGU